AGCGAGGUUGCCCUUUGUAUAUUCGGUUUAUUGACAUAGAAUAUACAAGGGCAAGCUCUCUGU
Molecule: microRNA precursor, 63 nt
Filed under: Canis lupus familiaris (dog)
Lineage: Eukaryota; Metazoa; Chordata; Mammalia; Carnivora; Canidae
Also listed under: 1 other name
Source: RNAcentral